UUCUCCUUCUCCAAUUGUUGUAGUGACUCGGUGGUGAGAGUCUCGUUCAUUGCUUGUUCCUUCAUAAUAUCUCCCUGGUUCACUAGGGGAAUUGAAUAUCUCAUGACGCGAUUCAUUCACGAACUCCUUUACGCAUUUCUUAUUAUUGUCCACCAUGUGGACCACAUAUUAACAGCUGGUUGAAAACUAAUGAUAAACUGAGUAAUUCUAAUCGCUACUAUACUUAUCGUGAUAAAAGGAUAUUCUAUUGUGACAAC
RNAcentral lists this long non-coding RNA (257 nucleotides) under Salvia miltiorrhiza (redroot sage). RNAcentral describes it as "long non-coding RNA (SMIL_LNC012584)". Lineage: Eukaryota; Viridiplantae; Streptophyta; Magnoliopsida; Lamiales; Lamiaceae. The record is from RNAcentral.